AUCAUGGUGGCGAUGUCGAGGGCUGUCCAAAACCUGCAGGUGAAGUGGAGCUAUUGGCAGAUAGCUUCAUGGAGACAGAAAGAAACCAAGUAAAUCCAAACAAGUAGUGAGUUAGAAGGGUCUAUUACCUUUCUUAAUCACGUACACGGAUAUUUAUAGAAUCUUUACAUGUUCUGCUUUCACAAACCAAAGCAGUAGGUCUUAGCUUGUUGAACAUAAACUUUCCUCAAUUGAAAGGCAUCUCGGCUCCAGACUGAAAACUUGCUGUUUUGUUUUCCUACACCUCACUGCAGCAGCAGCAGCCAAGAAAAACCUUCAUACUGUGAAAAACCCUUCAGUCCCUGAAGGCAGUGUGCCUGAGAAAAGAGCAACAUAACAGAAAGACAAACUGAGAGCUGGGGCGACCAUGGGGAAGCCAGGAGGGUGCCAGGAGAAUAGUGACAACUUGAAAGUAAGGCAGAAAUGUUGCCUGGCUGAAGACGUCAAACCUCAAAAGCAGAAUCCCAGGAAGAUCGAGG
This is a non-coding RNA of Poecilia reticulata (guppy), 518 nucleotides long. The record is from RefSeq and is a predicted model, not a curated record. Lineage: Eukaryota; Metazoa; Chordata; Actinopteri; Cyprinodontiformes; Poeciliidae.